Molecule: unclassified non-coding RNA, 240 nt
Filed under: uncultured fungus
Lineage: Eukaryota; Fungi
Description: sequence contains ITS1, 5.8S rRNA gene
Rfam family: 5.8S ribosomal RNA (bases 192-240)
Source: RNAcentral
UCUCCGUUGGUGAACCAGCGGAGGGAUCAUUACAGAGUUACUAAACUCCCAAACCCAUGUGAACUUACCUUUGUUGCCUCGGCGGUUACCUACCCUGUAGUUACCCUGUACUUACCCGGUAGAGGCCGCCGGUGGAUCUCCAAACUCUUGUCUGAAUAUGGUCAUUCUGAGUAAUUACUAUAAUAAGUCAAAACUUUCAACAACGGAUCUCUUGGUUCUGGCAUCGAUGAAGAACGCAGC